UUUUAAUUUUAAUUUAUUUGUUUAUAAAUGCAUUUCCUAUGUAUGUUAUAAUUUUCUAUUUUGAGCUUUUAUAAGGCAUAAGUAAUAUGAAUUAUUCGAUUUUUAAAAAAAUUAAUCUAAUGGGAAAUCGUCGAAAAAAAGUUUGAUAUAUGUUAUUAUGACUUAUUAUUGAACUCAAAUUUAACACAUCAAUUACAGUGACCGGCUGAAUGACGAGUAAAUAAAAAACAUUCAUACUAAGAAAAUCGUAUAAACAUGACUUUGAAGAAAAGACAAUACACAAUAUUGGACGUACUAAAACUUUUUUGGGUAUUAGCUUAUUACGUGAGAGGAAAACCUCCGAAAAGCGGAAACUUAUAAAAAUUUCAAUUUGAAAAUAAUGAUUAAACGACGACAAAAAACUGAGCUUAUACUAAUAGAACAAUAAAGAACUCAUUCACACUAAUUUUUUCACUCAAAAUUCAAUUGUAUUUAUUCAUGUAUUUAAAAAUGUUCAACGAGUAAUGUAGUAAAUAAAUCAAAACAAAUUUUAAAAAUGACAAACGGCAUAUAACUAUUGCAAAUACGACAACCGAACAAUUAUUCGAGAAGUAUAGUAAUAAAGAAGUAAUUUGAAGCGUUAAUUCAAAACGCUUUACACAUAAAACCAAAUAAACUAAUACGCCGGGAACUGGAAAAUACUAUCUCUCACAUUUUUCAUUAUAGAUAUAUGAAAUUAAUUCAAACCUAUCGGACUUAAAUACUACCACUCGAAAUUAGUACAGUAAUUUUUUUAGUUUA
Aphis gossypii (cotton aphid) is the source of this 780-nucleotide long non-coding RNA. RefSeq lists it as uncharacterized. Lineage: Eukaryota; Metazoa; Arthropoda; Insecta; Hemiptera; Aphididae. The transcript has 3 exons. The record is from RefSeq and is a predicted model, not a curated record.